AAUGAACGCUAGCGGCAGGCUUAAUACAUGCAAGUCGAGGGGUAGCAAGAUUGUAGCAAUACAAUUGUUGACGACCGGCAAACGGGUGCGGAACACGUACACAACCUUCCUACAAGUGGGGAAUAGCCCAGAGAAAUUUGGAUUAAUACCCCGUAACAUAGCGAUGUGGCAUCACAUUGCUAUUAUAGCUUCGGCGCUUGUUGAUGGGUGUGCGGCUGAUUAGAUAGUUGGCGGGGUAACGGCCCACCAAGUCUACGAUCAGUAGCUGAUGUGAGAGCAUGAUCAGCAACACGGGCACUGAGAAACGGGCCAGACUCCUACGGGAGGCAGCAGUAAGGAAUAUUGGACAAUGGACGCAAGUCUGAUCCAGCCAUGCCGCGUGAAGGAUUAAGGUCCUCUGGAUUGUAAACUUCUUUUAUAAGGGACGAAAAAAGGUCUUUCUAGAUCGUCUGACGGUACCUUAUGAAUAAGCACCGGCUAACUCCGUGCCAGCAGCCGCCGUAA
RNAcentral lists this ribosomal RNA (504 nucleotides) under uncultured bacterium. Its description in RNAcentral is "partial 16S ribosomal RNA". It matches the Rfam family "Bacterial small subunit ribosomal RNA", at positions 29 to 523 of the family's 1533-position model. The record is from RNAcentral.